RNAcentral lists this ribosomal RNA (481 nucleotides) under uncultured bacterium. Its description in RNAcentral is "partial 16S ribosomal RNA". It matches the Rfam family "Bacterial small subunit ribosomal RNA", at positions 28 to 507 of the family's 1533-position model. The record is from RNAcentral.
GAUGAACGCUGGCGGCGUGCUUAACACAUGCAAGUCGAACGAAGCAUUUAGGACAGAUUACUUCGGUUUGAAGUUCUUUAUGACUGAGUGGCGGACGGGUGAGUAACGCGUGGGUAACCUGCCUUGUACUGGGGGAUAGCAGCUGGAAACGGCUGGUAAUACCGCAUAAGCGCACAAUGUUGCAUGACAUGGUGUGAAAAACUCCGGUGGUAUAAGAUGGACCCGCGUCUGAUUAGCUAGUUGGUGAGAUAACAGCCCACCAAGGCGACGAUCAGUAGCCGACCUGAGAGGGUGACCGGCCACAUUGGGACUGAGACACGGCCCAGACUCCUACGGGAGGCAGCAGUGGGGAAUAUUGCACAAUGGAGGAAACUCUGAUGCAGCGACGCCGCGUGAGUGAAGAAGUAAUUCAUUAUGUAAAGCUCUAUCAGCAGGGAAGAUAGUGACGGUACCUGACUAAGAAGCUCCGGCUAAAUACGUG